CCUGGUGCGUCGUCCAGCGGUGAAAUUGGCUCCCCUGGACCUUCGGACAUCUGGACGGUCCGGAACUACACGGGUGGGGGAAGUUGCGGAACCUCUGGGCACGAAACUGAGUGAGUUCAGUACCGCCCGUACCUAUCAAAGUAGCAUAGACAUCAACGCGAGAAAUGACAGGCAACAUGACAUUGAAGCUUCAACUGUCAAAUGCAGCAUACCUUCAACGUGGCAAGAAGACACAGUGCAAUUAUUAGUUGGUCUACCUAGAGAAAUAUAGUUUCUAAACCUAAAUUACUAUUAUAAUUAGUUAAAAUUCCUACCUAAAUUAGUUUCUAUCAAUUGAAAUAUUCUAAUGAAAUCAAGUUUAGCCGAUAAUUGGGAAACUAAGAUACUUACGCUAAUAGUACGGGAUCGAAAGGUGUUAAACUACGUGAAAUUUGGCUGUUUAACCAUAUUCUAAGUAGACACGCAAAGAAAACAGAAACAAAGGGUUAGUUUGGACACAGUCGGAGAAGAAGAAAACGAAAAUGUAAGAUUUCUAAAUUAAACUAUGAACUAUAAAAA
Molecule: long non-coding RNA, 558 nt
Organism: Armigeres subalbatus
Lineage: Eukaryota; Metazoa; Arthropoda; Insecta; Diptera; Culicidae
Exons: 3
Source: RefSeq, a predicted model, not a curated record